CAUUAAAAUUUUUAUUAUGUGGUUAUGUGGUUAUAUACCACCUUUGAUUUGGAUCCUUUUGGAUAUAUAGUUAAAAUCACAAACUGACUAAUGAUUGCCAAACAUAUAUAAUAAACUUUUAAACACAUAUCUAGAUUAAUACGGAGAAAAGUGCUUGAACCCAACCAGAGAAUGAUCCAUAUUGCCUGAUGGAGAUAGUGCCAAUGACCACGGUGAUACCAUGUCCUAGAAAUACUGCCUAAAAUGUGAUUUUGUGAAGGUCCUAAGGUAAUGAGGACAUCAGAGCUUAUAUACUUCCCUCUCACCCCACCAUUAAGGGUUUGCCACUUGAUAUAGAUCUGCAUGAAGGCUUUUCAAAUUCAGUUUCUCCUUCUCUCCCCUUGUUAUCACUGUGGUUGAGACCUUUAUUACUUUAUUCUUGCAUUAUGAUAAUGUACUCCCUGAUCAUCCAUUCAUUCACCCGAAAAUAUUUAACGCAUUUCUGCAAUGUUUGCUUUAGGAUAUACCACUAUCCCUCCUACUCCUAGUCUUCUAGUACUUUUCUGAUACUCUGCUACUUGUCACCAUCACACCACCAGCAUCACCAUAACAUAAGAAGCACCUACUAUUUGUUCCUUAGGCUGUUCCAAAUACUGUAUUUUAUAUGUGAUAACCCAUUUAAUCCUCAGAUAUCCCUCUGAGUAGGUGCUGUCAUCUCCAUAUUAUAAACUGAGGCAUACAGAAGUUAUGUAACAUGCCCAAGGGCACACAAAAAGCAGUCUCGUUUUUUUACAUCUUAUAUUCUAAUGAAGAAAGACAUGUAAAAAGUAAUUUCUCCUGGUGAACAAAGUAUAGUCAUACCUUGGUUUGCGAGCAUAAUUCAUUCUGGAAACAAACUACUUGUAUUGCAAGGCAUCGCUUGUUGACCACGAUAAAAUGUAUUAGAAAUGUUAGCUCAUCUUGCAGAACACUUGCAAACCAAGUUACUCGCAAUCCAAGGCUUUACUGUACAUUACUUGCCUGAAGGGACGAGGAAGGGGUUUUCUGGGGAGAUGGCCUCAUGUGUUGUCUUAAAUGGUGCAUUAUAGUUCCCUAGACAGACUAGAGGAUGAGGGCAUUCGUUUGAGGAAAUUGAGUGGUUUGGUAUAACUGGAGCUCAGGGUAUAUGUGGAGAGAGAGGGCUAAGGGCAGAAGUUGAGACUGCAAUCUUGAUUUUGCAAGUUGAAAGCACAUGGAAGUUUUAAGACUUUUUAUUUGGAAAUCAUUUUUGACCUAAAAUACAAAAAAAAAUAGUAUAACUUUAUCCAGAUUUACCUUUUGGUAAUAUUUUACUCUCUUUGAUUUGCUAUUGCUUGCUCUAUCAAUCAUAUCUAUCUAUCUAUCUGUCAUCUAUCUAUUAUCUACCUACCUAUCUAAUCUAUAUCAUCUAUCUACCAUCUACCUCACUAUCUAAACAUGCACCUAAACACACACACACACACACACACACACACACACACGCAGGAAAAGUACAUGUUGACAAAAAGUGAAAGGCUGCAGGUGACCAAUUUAGAAAUACAGUAAAAUAGGAAGAGUUAUAAUAAUUAAUCAAGCACCCUUGUUUCUAAAUAAAGCCUAUAUUUUUGGUGCUGAAAUAAAGGAUCGUUGGAAAACAGAAAAGAUACACUCUCUCCAUGGUGCUGAAAAUUGAAUUCUAUUAAUUUUUGGUGUUGUGAAUGUCUCGUUUUCCAAUGUUCUAAACUUUAAGGAGACUUAAAGACAAUUAAAUAAGGCACUCAAGAGCUUUGGUUGGAGGAGGGAAAUGCAAGAAAAUGGAGGCAGAUAUGUGUUCAGAUUUCGCUUGGCUUUGUCCUUUUGGAACAUUUUUAUUCUUUCAUAUAAACAGGCUAACACAUAUUUAAAUGUCUGAAUCCAUUAUAUGUCACAAGCGUAGACAACAUAAGGGCUAUGUCUGUAGAACUGAGUAGAAAAUCGAAGUAGCUUUUUCCACACUGAGAAUUUAAUAGCAGGCAAGGAGGCCUGGCUCCACUGGGCGGGGCGAAAAGGCGCUCAGCCAGCUUGUGAAAUGAGGAAGAGAACUAAAGAAUGAUCCAUCUAUAGAUUUAGGAUUUAAUAGCUUUGGAAAGGUAAGUCAAAUAUUUUAACUGUACUUUCGUCAAACUUUCCUCUUAAACAGCAUUCCUACCGGAAACUUUUGAAAACAGCUACAACAUUCAUUUAUCUCAACAGCUGCAGGUACUUGAACCUGAGCUUCUACAGUGUCCACAGCCUCUUGAACAAUGAAAGUGGAAAUUAUCAGAGAAACAAACCAUGCUGAAUUCAGUGGUGCUGCUUCUGGUCCAGGGACCACACAUUAAGAACAACUUCUUUAACUGACAUCGAUGACCUGGUCUCUGCUUCCACAGUUUCUACGAUUCCCCCACUCCCUCAUCUUUCCAAUCUAAGGUCUGUUCAUCUGCUCCAAUAAACUAGAGAAACGAUACCACCUCAUGUCCUCCAACAAGACCAGCAAGCACAUCAGGAGAGAUGCUUUUAUGUGUGUCCAGUAGGAAGGCAGACAGAUGCUUCCCUGGAGGUCAGUGGAAGCAUUUCCAUACCUUUCGUAUUUGAAGUCACAGUACUUUGUGACUUUCCCUGGGGAAAUCCUCCAUAAACAUCACAACAAAUUGCCUCUUUGCUCUGCCUUUUGACAUUAGAACCACUAGACCCUGUGUUGAUUUACUCCCCUUCUUGUUGGUUUCUGUUGAUUCAUUAAUCAUGCCAUUGGCACUCAAGAACUGGAUGUCACUUCCUUUCCUUCAGAAGAAGCUCUUGAUUUUUUUUUUUUAAUCUUUUGUAGUUAGUGUCAAAUUGGACACUGAGUGAUUUAUUUGGGUUUGGGAAAAAGAUAAGCUUUGUUUCUUAGCUUUAGCAUGAUAAAAAAGCACUUCCCAGCCUGGUCAGUUAGGGUAGGGUUGGAAGAUAGGUUCUCUUAUUGAGUUUGAAACUUCCUGCUGGGGAGACCUAUUUAAAAGAAUGGAACAACAUCUAGUAAUCUAGUAAAAUCUUACCAGACAUAGUAGGUAAAGCAAGAGGCUUUGAAAACAACUGCUGAUUUUUUUUUUUUUUUAAAGCCAUUGAAUGGGUUUCAUGGAUCUUUAAGCUACCAAUUAAACAGGUUAUGGUCAACUUUUAAAUUUACUGUUCUUCCUUGGCCAUGUUGUUAAGUGCUAAUACUUCUGUGUCCUGGAAGGUGAUAGUAAAAAUCUCACGUAGAUCGAUUGGAGUGCUAUGUGACAUUUAAAUUUGGAAAAUUCUUUAAUAUUUGCAAAAUAACAGUUUUCCCAAUGUAUAUUUUCUUUAAUUGAUUGUCUUUCUGAAAGUGACUUUGGCCAAAUAGACUAUGGGAUUUGAGAUAAUGAUGAGAUUUCUACUUAUGGAUAGAAAUGGUUCUCACUUUAAAAAUUCCUAUUGGAGCAUUGCAUUGCACUUCUAGGCAUCUGGGCUCCAAAAUAGCUUUUGACGUAUGUAUGCCAGAUAUAAAAAAAUGCCGAGAAAGAAAGUAUAAUUGAUUAUAAAUGUUUUUGCAGGAAUCAGUAUGUGGUUUUCCUUAUUGAUUUUAGUAAAUGCAAAAUUAAGUUAUACUGAAUUACUGUUGUAAUUAUUAAUUGUCAGCAUAAUUCUAAAACCUUUCACCCAGACAAUCAAAGCAUUCUACUCAUUUCCCCAAUUGAUUAAAUAAAUGGAAAGUUAAGUAAUUAGUGUGAGCCAGAGAAACAGAGCAACGACCAAAUGUGUGGUUAUUUAUUGACCUGUUGCUAAGAAAAUCAUUUUCUGAAGACCCUUCAAACCCGUAACAUCUAGAAAAUUAUUUAAACAUGUGUUUCUUGGAAAAGAGAAAGUUUACACAGUGUUUGGAUUAUAUUAAUAGCAUUAAAAAAGUAUAUACAACAAUUAAAACAGGACUUUUAUAAAAUGCUUAUUAUUACAGGAAUGAAUUUUGAAUUACAAAGGCCCUAAUAAAUCUGGGUGGAUGACAGCAUUUAUCUUCCUCCUCCUCUCACUCCUUCCUCCUCCUUAAUAAAAUCCUUUUUACUUCUGUGUUCCUUUGUAUUUUGAGACUCUGGAAAGAACUGAAGCAAAACUACUGAAUAUCCUAACAAUAAUCCAAUCCAGACAUAGAAACUUUUACAGAUCUCCUAAUGAGGCAACCUGCUGGGUCAAAUAUCACUUCCCCACCAAGACGUUCCAUCACCUACCAAUGGACCAUUGAAGCAGUUCCAAGGAAACCUCAAGAUUUCAGGAACCUAGUUUGAAAACCAGUGCUGCAGAGGAUGAAGUAUGGCUGGAAAGAUUUAAGCAGAUUUUAGAAUGAAAUGGAAGUGGAAAUAGUAGUCCUUUGGACACUGAACUUGAGUUUUGAACUCUGCACUAUACCUCUACUUGCUAUCAAAUGUCACACCUCAGUUAUUGUGGGGUCUUUUAAGGUCAAAGUCUUUGUAAAUGAAGAAGAGUGUUAUUUACAUAGGUCUGGAUGCCAGAUGAUUUGGUUGACUGGAGUUGUUUAUCUGACUCCUAUUUUAGAUCACAUUGCUAAGUUCUGUGCCAGGUUUUGAAACUACUGCAUAAACUGUGUACCUACCUUCAGGGAUCUCACAAUUUAGAGAAGGUGACAGGAAGUAAAUUAGAUAAUUUAGUAAUUAGAAAAAAAUAGAUAAAUUAGUAAUUAUUAUGUUAUAGUACAGUCGUUCCUCAAUAUCCACAGGAGGACUGGUUUCAGGACUUCUCAGGUAACGAAAUCUGCGGAUGCUCAAGUCCCUUACAUAAAAUGGUAUAGUAUUUGCAUAUAACCUAAACACAACCUCCUGAAUACUUUAAAUCAUGUUUAGAUUACUUAUAAUCCCUCAUACAAUGUAAAUGCUAUGUAAAUGGUUGUUAUACUUUAUUGUUUAGGGAAUAAUGAUGAGAAAAAAAGUUCUGUAUAUAUUCCAUGCACAUGCAACACCUUAGGCCUAACUCUUAAUACAUAGUGCAUGUCAGAAACAAUGUGACAUUUUUUCCCCCAAAUAUUUUUAAUCCACAGCUUGUUGAAUCUGUAGAUAUGGAGGGCUGAUUAUAAUUGAUAUAAAAAUGCCAUAGUGGGGAAAUGUGCAUAGUGGGGAAAUCCUUCUAAGAGGAGUUGAUAGUGGAGUGGAACCUGAAACUGAUAGAAAUUAGUCAGGGAGAUGUGGGGAGAAGACUAGUAUGGGCAAAUAAAUAGCAGACCAAGAGAACAGCAGGGGCAGAAACACUUACAAGCAGGGCAUGUUUGGAGGACCUGAAGUGCAUCAUUAUGGUAUGAAGAUUGCACCAGAUGUGUGGGUCAGGGUUCAGUCAGGGAGUAUUGUGGAAAAGGAAUUUAUCAUAAGAAUGAGACCUUAUGCAGUUAUAGGAGUUGGAGAGGUAAAGGUCCAAAAAGGGCAGUUGAAGGACCAGAAAGCAGACUUAAAGUGGAGCUGUUAAACUCUAUGAGAACCAAGCAGUUUCUGGAGUAGAGCUGCAAAGAAAGGCUGGUAUAAAAGCCUAUGGACGUUGAUUCAUCUCUGUGGCUACCACCCCUGUGAAUUUUCAGUAAAGUGGCUGCUUGUCAGCCUGAGGCCUCUGUCACUUAGUGUGGUUGGCAAUCAGGAAGUAAAGCUAGAAGUGAAAUGUAAAGAGAUCAAACUAGAGAUUUCUAGCAUGCAUAUGUCUGUCUCUCAUUACCUCUAAAGAACAAUGACCUUCACAGCAUAAUAGUGGUUGCUUCAUUUCUGCCUCCCAAAUCUCUCAUGAUCUUACUUUUGGUCAAUUCUAACCUGGAAUUCUAUAGGAAAGGGGAUUCUAGAGAAACAGUCCCAGUGUAACCAAGCUGAUAAAUGUGCAUCUAGCACAUCAGCAUUAUCUUGAAAAAUUGAUAAGCACCUGAUCAAAAAAAGCCUUGUUUCUUAAGUGAAAGAAUUUGAUUUUUAUCCUGAAGACAUUUAAUUUUCAUUUAUAGCUUUAAUCAAAAGUGAUAUGAGGAGAGUUGCAUUUAGACUGUGAAAGAUGGAUUGUCAAGGCCAAGGGUUGAAGAUGGGGAAGUCAUAUCUCAAAGCAAGGAUGCUAUUGUUCUUAUCCAAAUAAGAGAAGAUGAGAACCCCAUGUAAAGCAGUAGUGGUCAGGAAGACAGAGGAAGUUGAAAUUUGGGAGAUGGUAUAGAUAAUGAUGGGAUGCAUUACACUGGGAAUUCAGUAGGAGAUGCUGGUUCAUAAAGAGGAGAGUAGAAGAGGUUCAUUUUGGACAUAAUGAGUUUGAGAUAUCUGGAGAAUGACCAUGUAGAGUGGAGUAAGUCGUAGGCAGUUAGAAACUUAGGUAUAGAACUUGGAAAGAAGAUAUGGGAUAAAGAUACAGAUUUAUUAGUUGUCAGCAUAGAGGUGGUGGUUGAAAUAAUAAAUGGCAUUAGCCAUGGAGACUGCAUAGCAUGAGAACACCCAAGGCAACACCAACGUUUAAAGAGAACACAGGGGAAGGGGAGUCAGCAGACAGGAAAGAAAUAGGUGGGGAGCUGGGAAUAGAAGUAAGAAUCUGGUCUGCUGAAAACCGAUACAGAAUAUUUCCAAGUGGAGGGAAGGUUUAUUGUGUUGAACUCAACAUGCUGACAAUGUUAGAAAACUAUUGAGAAAUAUAUAUUUAUUUUUCAGUAAAGCGAUGGAGGUAGAGCAUGGUUUCAGGAUGAGAGAGUUAGGAGAGUUAUGCAAAUUAUUUCAUCUAGAAUUUUGGCCAUAAAUUAGAGAGAGGUAAAUAGUGUUCAGGAAAUGUGUUUUGGGGAUGUGUGUGUAUGUGUGUAUCAGUGUGUAUGUGUUGGUUUUCAUUCCUUAAAUGGGAGACUUCAGUGUGCAAAAAUGCAAUGGUAAGAAAUAAAUUUGAAGUUGUUUUUCAGUGACUUAAAAAGGUAUCUUGUCACUACGGUAUAUGGUCCUUAGUUUUGUGUGUUGUUUAUUCUAUGUGUAUGAUCUGUGCAGCUGAACCAAAAUGUAAGGGAUGUGGCAGUGAUGCUAACAGGCUGACUGGAUUCAAAUGUGUCAUUAAUGACUGUCUCCUUUUACACACAGACCAGGUAAAAUAGGAAAGCUAGUUUCCAGAAGUUAAAUGCGUAUCUGCAAUUGGUCCAAGUCUUUCUGUGGCACAGAAGAGUAGAGUGCUGAAGUGCUUUACAAACCUUUAUUUGGUAGAAGCCUUCAGGCUACAUUAGCAUCAAAUUUUCAACCCCUUAAGGUUGAAUGUGCUUUUUGAUUUGAUUCUUUGGUAUGGAUGAUAAUCAAAGGUAAUUUUACCUGAAUGUUAAAAACAUGGAAACGAGCCAAGACACCAAAUAUUUUCCCACUUAGGUCUUACAGAACACGAGUUUUUUUGUUUUUUUUGUUUUUUACCAAUUACUAGUUACACUUCGAAAUCUGUUGUCCAUGUUGACAAUGGUUAGUCCAUCGGCAGAUCUACAUUCUCUAAAAUCUCAAAUCUGAAUAGAGGUAUGUUGUGCUGAUUGUCCCAUAUGCACACGUGCAGAAAAAGCUCUCUUUAAUCAAGCAUGACUUUUAUUCCCACUAAGCCUGGCAGUGUUUCAUUUGAUCUCUACUUGCAGCACAUUAUAUUAGAGAAUUAUCAUCUGUAUUGUUUUGUACAGUUCCCACGUAAAGAAUCACUCAUAACUAUCAUGAAACCAAGUUCUUUGCUCAUACAUAUUAUCUUAUGGGAGAGCCACUCAAAUCCUAUUACAGCUAAUUCCAGGGGAUGCUCCUUUUGUCAUGUUGAAAAUAGACAUAUUUUUUGAGAUUUUUUUCUAUCCCCAGGUUUCUGGAUUAACCUCCAAUAUAAUUACUUGAGCCAAAAUCUGUUUAUAUAAUACCAGGCUAAAUCCUAUCCCAACAAAUACCAAGUCAGCUAAAAAAUCUCUGCAUAUCUGAACUACAGCCAAGAGUUCAUCUAUUUCAAGGAAAAAUUUGUUUGAAAAGCCACAGCUAAUGAACUACUUCUUUCUCAAUGACCUAAAUAGGAUUUCUUAACCUUCUUCAGACUAUUCGGUAAACAAACUUACUCUACAAGAAUAUGCUUUCCUUUAUCUGAAUCCCAAAUAUAAUGUUGAUGCUUGGCCUGAUGUUGGUUAAUUGAAACUAAUUACAUUUCCAGAGUAAUCCCAGCAUCUGGAGUCAGUCAGCCUGUAAAGUAAAACUGAACUGAAGAAUGGUGUUGUCUCUGCCUUUCUCCAGCUGCUGCUGGAAAGGAAAGAUAGGUGGUAUAAGUACUUUUAAGUCAAAGAAUCCAAUUCCAUUCAUUUAUUUUAUUUUAAUUCUUCUGUAAGUAGCAAGUAUCACCCUGCCCGUUAUUGUUAAGCAGAGCGACCAUGUUUAGGCUAAAGAAAACAAUCUUGAAAACAUGAAUGAAAAGAACACAGAGAUCAUGUGUUGCUUUUUACUAAAUUGAGUAUUGUGCUGAUCCCCACUUGCAUACAUAUUUGUGCCUGGGAUGUUGUCUCAUGUGGUUGUAGUUCUAAAGCUAUAACCACCACAGUUUGCAUUCUAGGAAGAAGAUUUAGGAUUUUUAGUCAUGAAUUCUGCUUAACAAUGUCUUUUUAAAAAAAUGUAUUGGGGUGUCAUUGGUUAA
Long non-coding RNA from Hipposideros armiger (great roundleaf bat), 8613 nucleotides. RefSeq lists it as uncharacterized. Lineage: Eukaryota; Metazoa; Chordata; Mammalia; Chiroptera; Hipposideridae. The record is from RefSeq and is a predicted model, not a curated record. The transcript has 5 exons.